Molecule: unclassified non-coding RNA, 443 nt
Filed under: Zea mays
Lineage: Eukaryota; Viridiplantae; Streptophyta; Magnoliopsida; Poales; Poaceae
Description: misc RNA Zm00001eb388250
Source: RNAcentral
CGCAGUGGAUGUUGGCCUGCUGGUAGAAGCUGCGCGGGUCCGACUCCGGAAGCGCCUUCAUCAGCGCCACCGCGCGCGCGUACCUGGCGACGCUGUCCGCGCCGGCGGCCCCGUGCGCUGGCUGCCGCGUCCGGAGCGGCUCGCCUGGGUCGGGGAACGUGAAGUUGGCGACGGCAGCGUCGGACGCCGGCGUCGGCGGGCAGCAGCGGAAGGGCGGGAGCGCGUGGGAUGGGAGGCGGGGCUCGCCGCACGACAGCAGGUCGGUGACUAUGGGCCUGCCGCCGCUACCGGCCUUGUUGUGGCCUCCAUCGCCAUCCGACAGCUGGGCCUUGGCGGAGCCGUCGUCCGCGCAGGAGAUGAGGCGAGGGUCGAGGCCGCUGGCGGCGAGGAUGGUUCUUGGCAGGGAGUAGGCGCAUGGCCUUGUGACGAGAGGGAGCAAGGUG